This 501-nucleotide unclassified non-coding RNA is filed under the name Hevea brasiliensis (rubber tree). The record is from RNAcentral. Lineage: Eukaryota; Viridiplantae; Streptophyta; Magnoliopsida; Malpighiales; Euphorbiaceae.
AAAAAAUAUAUUUUAAAAAGGUUCAAAUUGUGAGUUAAAUGUACAAUGAAAACUAAUCUUUUAAAUUAAUAAUAAUUAGCCAUAUUUUAAUUUAUAUUCUUAAUCUUAACAAUAUUCUAAAAAAAUUAAUUGGGCAAAAUGUGAGUGACCGAUAUUUUUUCAUACACGUAUAUAUGUAAAGUAGGAAUGUUUUCCUUAGCUGUUUUCAUGUAGUAUUCUAAAUUUUCAUACUGCCGCGUGCUAUUAUAAAAUAGGAAGGUUUUCCCUAACUAGAGCUAAGUGGCAUUCUAAACUUUGAUGCUGUCACAUAACACUUACCAUAUAAAAAUUAUUAGUUUUAAUAAUUAUAGUAAUUAAUGAAAGUAAUUAUUGUCUUUUAUGCUAAGUAUUUAAUUUUAUUUUUUUGUUUAAUUUUCUUUUUAAUUCCCUUUUAAAUAUCUUUUAUGCUAAGUAGUUAAAUACUUUAUCUUCUCCCUCCUUUUUAUAUAUUUAAUAAAUUUU